ACGCUCGACACCUACAGAGGCAGCAGUGGGGAAUAUUGCACAAUGGGGGAAACCCUGAUGCAGCGACGCCGCGUGAGUGAAGAAGUAUUUCGGUAUGUAAAGCUCUAUCAGCAGGGAAGAAAAUGACGGUACCUGACUAAGAAGCCCCGGCUAACUACGUGCCAGCAGCCGCGGUAAUCUGAGCGGGCUGGCAAGGC
This 197-nucleotide ribosomal RNA is filed under the name uncultured bacterium. RNAcentral's name for it is "partial 16S ribosomal RNA". It matches the Rfam family "Bacterial small subunit ribosomal RNA", at positions 326 to 539 of the family's 1533-position model. The record is from RNAcentral.